Molecule: long non-coding RNA, 16598 nt
Filed under: Sarcophilus harrisii (Tasmanian devil)
Lineage: Eukaryota; Metazoa; Chordata; Mammalia; Dasyuromorphia; Dasyuridae
Description: lncRNA (ENSSHAG00000021241.1)
Source: RNAcentral
UUCUGAUGGAAGUGGAUUUCUUCCACAAAGAGAAGAUCUAACUCAGUUUCAAUUGAUCAAGGAUAGACAGAAGCAGCUACACCCAAAGAAAGAACACUAGAAAAUGAAUGUGAACUGCUUGCAUUUUUGUUUUUCUUCCUGGGUUAUAUAAAUAUAUAAAGGUAUAAACCUUCUGAAUCCAAUUCUCCCUGAGCAACAAGAGAACUGUUCGGUUCUGCACACACAUAUUGUAUCUAGGAUAUACUGUGACAUAUUUAACAUGUAUAGGACUGCUUACCAUCUGGGGGAGAAGGUGGAGGGAGGGAGGGGAAAAAUUGGAACAGAAGUGAGUGCAAGGGAUAAUGUUGUAAAAAAUUACCCUGGCAUGGGUUCUGUCAAUAAAAAGUUAUUUAAAAACAAAAGAGAGAGAGAGAAUGAAGCUGAAAUGUAGUUGAAUAUAAUCUCCUUGAUGACAAGGGGCUGUAUAAUUGGAUUGAACAUUUCUGAUCCAGAAAACAGACAUUAAAACUGUAUUGAAUAGAGAGAUAAGGUGAAGAACUUACAGGAAUGUAUGAAUUCGUUUUCUGUAUUUUAUUUUCAUUAUUUCUGUAUUUCCCCUAUGACUUGUAUAAUAUGUGCAGCCCCAUAUUUACUUAAGCCUUGGACAGCUAUAAACAUAUUUACUUAACCUGAGCUGAUGACAUUUAUCAAUAUUUAGUCUAUUAGCUUGACCACUAUCUCUUGAGUAAGCCUGAAAGCCGGAUUUUCUGUUUCCUAGAAAUCAGGAGAUUUCAGGGAAACAGAAACCUUCCAUUCCAAUCUCUCCGAAUAGCAACAACCAAUUAGAUGCCUCCCCCUCUCAUUCUCUUUUUUUUUUUUUUUGUUUCUAUAAACUUUAUUAUUAUUAUUAUUAUUAUUUUUAUUUAAUAGCCUUUUAUUUACAGGAUUGCCCUAGGCUAGAGACUAAGGGGUGAAAGUGUCACUGCCCCAGGCCGGAGCCUCUUGUGGGACUGUGAGUAUUAGCAGCUGACCGCAGACCACAGACCGCAGACCGCCCCGAACUCUGCCCCAGUGUUUCUGCCCCAGUGUCUCUGCCCAAUGCAAAUCGGCCCUGGAAAAGCUCUAUGGCCCCAAGCCGAGCUCCCCACUGCGCAGAUUGGAGGCUAACCCGGGCUGUGUCCUCCUGCUGUGCAGGAUCACAACUGCCCCAAGGAAAAGCCCCGUACUGCGGGUUGGGGCUGCGCGCUUGUGCUGAGAUCUGUGCCUUCACCCUCGGUUUGAGACUCUCCUCCGAACCUAAUUUCUCUCCCCAUCUGCGCCGACUCCCCCCUGGCCCCGGAACCAACCUUUUUUGGCGAGACUGCAGAUUUUCUUCGGCCGAUGAAGAAGGAAACCGAUGGGUGGCAAUGAGCACCUGGAGAGAGACAGAAAAAGAGAAAAAACUUGAAACAAAGAAGGCCUAAGAAACAUCUGACACCGAAAGAGCAUGGCUGAUAACGAGACUGUUGCAGGACUUGAAAACCAGCAGGAAUCAUUGGAUUCUUUGAGAUGAAAAAUGGUUCAUGAGACUAUUGCAGAAUUUCAAAACUUGCAGGAAUUAUUAGAUUCCUGGCACAUGAACUAAUGGACAAUAGGUUCCUUUUGGACUAUUUCUAGGACUUAUGGACAUGUAUAAUUCUUCAUGUUGAUUCAUGUGAUUUAUCUAAUUAUGUGUAAUACCUCCCAUAUUGAUGGAUUUAUAUAUACCUGUUUUAAGAGUGAGCCCCUUCAGAAACCCGCUACUCUGAUUUGAUUUUCCAUUUCCUUUGGUGUUUUCAUCUCCCUUCCUGAGAUGUCAGGGAGUGCAUGAUCACCUCCUUUUAUGGUGUUUUCACCCUUUUUUGAGCAGUCAGGGAAGGAGUGAUCCCCUUCUUAUUGGGGUUCUCAUCUCCUUGAGAAGUCAGGGAGGACAUGACCACCUAUGUUUUAAAAACAAAAGAAAGCUGGAGAGGUUAGGAUUCUUACCAGGUGCUAACUAAGUGGAAUUGAGGAGACAGUAGUUAAAUCUAGUUUAGCAUUGAUUUGAUCCUACAACAAAUAAUGGUUUCCUAGUGAUACAAUGAUUGGUGUAUACUCAGUGUGGGAUAUAUAAAGAGGAGCUGUCAGGGCCAGAAAGGACAAGCCCACUAGAAGCUCUUGGAGCCUCAGCCAGAAUUCAGUCAAGCAGAUACAAAAGCCAGAGAAGGCAGCUUAAACUCUCAGAACCAAGACUACAGAAGGCCUCUAAGAAAAACUAGCUGAGCCCCAAGUGAAGGAGACAAGACUUUGAAGGAGACAUAAAGGAUUUGAACUUUAACUCCUGGCUGCAUUUGAGGUUAUUAUUGAAAUGAAAAGAAACCUGUUCCCAGAGAACAUUACAUUUUAGAGAAGAAUAUUAUAGUUUUGCUUUUGAACAGCACUUCCCUUAUUUUUCCCUUCUUUUACAAUGCCUCCCCACUUUAUUAGCCCUUUACCCUUUUACUUCUGUUUUCCUUCUACUUUCUCCCACUUGUCUUUUCUCUUUCUCCGCCUAUUUCCUUAUAGGAUGAAACAGGUUUCUAUAUUAAACAAAAUAUAUCUGAUAUUCUCUUUUUGAGCCAAAUAUUUUGAGAUGAACAUUAACACAAUGUUCUUCACUCUAACUUCUUUCUUUCAACUGUAAUAGCUCUUUUUUCCUCUUAAUGUGAUGUAAUUUAGCCAAUUUCAUCACCCCUUCUUUCUUCUUCCAGUACAAUUUAUUUUCCACCCAUAGCAUUUUUAUAUCAACCCAAAGUCAAAUUAUAUCUGUACCCUACGCAUAUAUACCUAACAAAUAUAUAGUUCUCAAAUAUAUGUAUUCUUUCCAUAUAGGAAUGUAACAAUUUUAACUUUUAAAAACAUAAUUUCUAUUUCUUCUAUUUUUUACCUUCUUAUGCUUCUAUUGAGUUCUAUAUUUUAAGAUUAAAUUUUCUGUUCAGAUCUUUUCUUUUUAUCAAAAAUAAAUGAAAAUCCCCUAUGUUAUUUAAUGUCCAUCAUUUCCCCUGAAUGAUAUUUCUUAAUUUUGCUGGACAGUUGAUUUUUCACUUCAAUCUGAGUUUCUUUGGCUCCCAAGUUAUCAUAUCCCAUGCUCUUCAAUUCUCUAAAAUGGAAUUUGCUAGGUACUGGGUAAUCCUUAUUGUGACUCUUCAAUAUUUGAAUGAUUUCCUUCUGACUAACUGAAGCAUUUUCUCCUUGAUUUGAUAAUUUUUUAAUUUAACUAUAAUAUUCCUUUGAGUUUUCAUUUUGGAUUCUCUUUCAGAAAGUGAUUGUUAAAUUCUUUCAAUGACUAUUUUACUUCCUUUUUCUGGGACAUUAGGGCAAUUUUCUUAAUGAAUUCUUGAAUUAUGUUAUCUAGGACUUUUUUUUUCCAUUGUGACUUUCAUGGAGUCUAAUAACUCUUAGAUUGUCUCUCUUAGAACUAUUUUUCAGGUCAGUUGUUAUUUUACAUUUUCUUCUAUUUUUUCAUUUUUUAAAAAUUUUGUUUGACUGGUUCUUAAUGUCUCAUUGAGUCAUUUGCUUCCAUUUCUUUAAUUCUAAUUUUUCGUGAAUUAUUUUCUUUCAGUUAGCUUUUUUAUCUCUUUUGCAUUUGCCCAAUUGAACUUUUAAAUAAAUUGUUUUGUUCAUUGCAUUUUUCCAUUUUAGAGAUUCUGUUUUUCAAGGAGUUGAUUUCAUUUCCCAUUUUACCAAAACUAUUCUUUAAAGAGCAAUUUUCUUCAGAUAAUUUCUGUGUUUCCUUUUCCAUUUCUAUCAUUUCCUUUCCCCAUUUUUCUUUUAACUCUCUUUUUAGAUCCUUUUCGAAUUCUUCCAAGAGAGCCUUGUGAGAUGGAGACCAAUUUAUAUCACUCUCUGAGGCCUCAUCUGGAAAUGUUUUGUUUUUAGUGUCCUCAGGGGUUGAGAUCUGUUAUUUUAUGUCUCCAUAAAAGCUAUCUAUAAACAGUGCUCUUUUUGUUAUUUUGCUCAUUUUUAAAAGUCUGCUCUUAAGUAGAAGGUGAGAUUGUCCCAAACUUCUCUACAGUCAACAGUGGCUUCAUGCUUCCCUGAGAUUGGGGCUGCUGGGUUCCUUCCUGUAUUGUGCUGACAGACACAAGCCUUGUGUUAUCCUUGGCUUUGGGGGUUCACUAUUUGCCUUUUGUAAUUUUGUUUGAUGUCUUACAGUUAAUCUGCAGGUCUACUGUUUUCUGAACCAGGACAGAGUAGCCUAUAUUGCUAUAUUUUGGAUAAGAACCUCUCGGUAGAUUUACCAGUCACUUAGGUGUCACUCUGCUAUGGGUCCCUACAUUGCACCUGCACUCGACCCCCUUCCCACUGUGAUCAAUUGAAACAGACCUUUUAUGAAGUUAUUCCAAAAUAUCUUCUGCUGGAAAUUUGUUAUAUUCCAAAUAUUUGGGGAUUCUGUCAUUCCCAAACCCAUUCUGAGACUUGAUGUGAAGAAAGCCAGGAAUAGCUCAAACACAGACCUUUCUACUCUCUGCCAUCUUAGCUCUGCCAAUCUAAUUUAUUUUGAAUAAAAAAUCUUUCAAAUUACUGAGACACUGCCAAAAAAAACCCCAAAAUUAUAUGGUUACAACUUGAGGUAAUAGUCAUUCUUGUUAUAUUAUCUUUUGUUGGAUUUGAUAGUGUAGCUCUUUCAAUAAUCUUAUAAAAGAGGAGUUUAUAUACCAAUAAUUUUAUUCACUUUUUAAAAGCAGCUAUUAAGUCAAUAACUCUAAUAAUCUGUGUUAAAUUAUUCACAAAAUAAUUAGAGUUGUGUAGUGACCAGUCCUGGAAAGACUUCAUUCUAAAUUCUUUUGAAAAGUGAAUGUUAUCAACAAGGAAAACUGCAACUGUUUCAUUUCGAUCUUUGUAGAUUUAGCAGGUAGCAGGUUGUCUAGCACUUAUUAGGUACUUAAUAAAUGUGGAUUUUUAUUUCAAAUUAUAAUAUUAAUGACUAUGAUCAUAAUCAUUGUAACAUACAAUGGAUAUUGCUUUAAUGCUUUCAAAAUACUUUCCAUGAAUUACCUUUGAGAUAGCAUGGUAUAGGAGAUAUACUAAAUUUGGAGUCAGGAAGGUUUAAGACAUAAAUUAGUUGUAUGAGAAAGUCUUGACACAAGCUUCCUAUCUUCAAAUAAAAAGGAUGGGAUCAUUGUUCCAUAAGGUCACUUCCAGUUCAAAAUAUAUGAUUCUUUGUUGUCAACUGAUACCCAUAGAAAUGCUAUGAGGAAGAUCCUGUAUUCAUCAUUCUUAGCAUAAAGAUGAAGAAAAUGAAACUCUAAGAGACUAAAUGAUUUUCCCAGGAUAACAAAGUAAGCAUAUGUUUCAAACAAGUUUCAAACCCAGACAUUCUUGAGUCUAGAUCUAGAACUCACUGAAUAAGCAAACAACCACUUCAGUAAACUUACAAAUGGAAGAGGAUUUGAAAAAAGUUAGAAUGUAUGGUCAUGGUUGGGAAAGCAAUAUGUUCCAAGAUGAAUAAUUUCUUAUAUCUUAAAUAAAUAGUCCUUAAGAAAUUGUUUACAUAUCUAAUGUGACAGGAAAUUUACUACUUCAGAGGAGUCCCUUGUAGUUCUAGACAAUUCUCUUAAAAAACCCUUUCUUAUAUUAAGGUGAAAUCUGUCCUCCUACCUUCUCCCAAUUGAAUAUAGACUCUGGAGAAUAUAGUUUCAUUUUGGAGACAGACAAACACACAGACACACACACAUAAUGAACACAUUAAAAAUGACAAGAUUCAAAUGAGUUUUUUUUUUUAACUUUAUUUCUUCCAGUAUGUAGCAAAAAGUUUAAGGCUCCAUAGUGUACAUUUAUCAACUUUCUGAAAUAUUGCCGUUACCAGGGAAAUUUGAAGAGAUAUUAUAUGUAUUCAUUUCACCAUAAACCCAUUAACCAGGAUGAUGUAUUUAUGACUAAUUGGUUGGUUAUAUCAGAAUAAUUUCUUAAAGCAAAAGCAUUCAUGUGACAGUAAAUAUUUUUAUUAUGAAAACAUGAGACAUAAGUUCUAUUACAAAUAUUGUCUUUACUUGCCCACACUUGACUCACUUAUGGUGUCAGUGAUGCUAAGCUUUUCUCCAUUCAUCAACUUCUCUUUUUCACAGAACUGUUGCCUCAAUUUUUAACCACAUAUUAUGGUCCCAUAACUUUUAGUCAUUGUAAGAAAACAUGGGCUUUGCUUUUGUUAUGUAAAGUUCAUUUAUGUCUUUCUCCUAUUGCUCCUUUCCCCAAAGACUGAAACUGCCUCUACCUUGAAGUCAUCAAAUUACUAUGUCGAAUUUCCUUUAAAGGUCACUUCUAAAUCUAAUGUAAACAGACAUUGAGUGAAAUAAGUAGAACCAGAAUAUUGUAUAUACUAGCAAUGACAUUGCACAAUGAUCAGCCUAUCAAAGACUUAGUUCUUUUCAGCAAUGCAGUGAUCCUAGGCAAUUUCAAAAGACUCAUAAUGGAAAAUACUAUCCACAUUGAGAAAUAUGGAAUUUGAAUGAAAAUCAAAGCAUAUUAUUUUUAUUUUUUAUUUCUCAUGUUUUUUUUUUCCCUUUUGUUCUGAUUCUUCAUUCACAACAUGACUAAUGUGAAAAAUGUGUUUAAUAUGACUGCAUGCAUUACCUAUACCUCUUGUACUGGGGAAAGGGAAGGGAAUGGAAUGAGGAAGAAAAAUUUAGAACUUAGAAUCCUACAAAAUUAAUUUUGAAAAUUAUCUUAACAUGCAAUUGGAAAAGUAUUAUUAAAAGUGUCUUUAAAAAAUUCAAAUAUUAUAUCCCGACUAAAGCAUUCUUGAUUUUCCCAGAUGCUAGUACCUAUAUCAAAGUACCUUAGAUUUGUUCUGUAUAUAAUUAAUUAUAGCAAUGUAUUUCUCCCCAAGGAUAAUUUAAAUUUCUCAGGAGAAAAAUUAUUCCCUUUUUAUCCUCAGGAUCUAAGAAACUUGACAUGCAAUAGAUGCAUAAUAGAUAUUUGUUAAUGUAUUGAUCCAGAUAAUAUGGCUUUAAAAUUUGAAGGAAUCCUGAAGCUUAUUUAGCCCAAAACAUUCAUUUUAAUGAUGAGAAAACUGAGGCUCAGAGAAAUGAUAUUGCAUUUGAUCAAAAGUCUAAGAUGACACAUAAAAUAAUUGCAGAACCAAAAUAGAACCCCAAGUUUUAGACAUCAAGUUUUGUUAUGAUUCAAGAAUUUUAGUCAUGUCCAAAUCUGUAUGAUGCCAUUUUUUAGAUUUUUUUGGCAAAGAUAAUGGCGUGAUUUGCCAUUUCCUUCUUUAGUCUAUUUUCCAGAUGAGAAAACAAAGGUUCAGUGACUUGGCUUCUGUCACCUGGUAAGUGUGUAUGGUCAAAUUUGAACUCAAGUUUUUCCUCCAGGUCUGAUGGUCUUUCCAUUAUAACACCUAGUUGUCCUUUUUAUUGUCUCCCUUUAUAUUGCAAUCCACAUUCAUGUUUAUUCUCUUUACAUGUCUAUAGACCGUAUUUUCAAUGCUAUCCAUUUUCCAUUAAAUUACAUAUUUUUUUCUUGAGGUUUUUGUUGUUAUAGCUGAGUGCUUAUUAUUUCAACUAAACUUUAAGGUCUGUGAAAACUGGGAUUGUGUCUUUUUUUCUUUCUUUUCCAUCUUUAAUAACAUCAGACUCAGCAUGAUCUACAUCUUUAAAGUACAAUAAAGCAUGUUGUACAUGGCAAGAUUUAGAAGCAUCUAGGCAGCGCUAUGGAUAGAGUGCUAGAUCCAGAGUCAGGAAGACCUAAGUUCAAAUUCAACCUCAAAUGUUUAUUAGCAAUGUGAAGUUGCAUAUAAUCUUUAUAAGCCUCAAUUUCAUCAGUUAUGACAUGAAACUAACAAUAACACAUACCUUUAAGAGUUCUUGUAAAAAUUAAAUGAGUUAAUAUUUGUAAAGUGCUUAGCAUAGUGCCUGGAAUAUAUUCAAUGCCAUAAAUGCUCAUUCUUUUCCCUCCUUUCUUUUUCUCUUCCCUCCCUGUUCCCACCUCCCUUUCUUUUCCUUUUUCCUUCCUCUUUCUUCUUUCCUUCUCCUAAUCCUUUUCCUUCCUCCUUUUCCAAGUGGAAUGAAGUGUUAAUGUUUUUAUCAUCAAUUGAGGUGUCUCACUGAGGCAGAAAAAUGUCCACAACAUUGAUUGGAGGCAAUUGUUUGAGAUUAGGCAGCAGGGGAAAGUGAUUGAGGAAUUUAUUCCAAUCUGCUUCUAUUUCAAUUGGCAAUACAACCUAGAUAGAUGCUAAAAUCUACUUUUUUUUUCCUUUUCUGAUAAAAAUGUCAGCAAGUGAUGUUUUCAUCUAAAUUCUGUAUCUUUUAAAUGGUGAAGCUUGAUUCAAAGACCUUGUCACCUCCCCCUUAUUAUACAUAAUGGCACAUUCCUGGGCUCAUUCCAAAUAAUUUAUAAAUAUUUGUUGAUUUCAUUUGAAAGUGGUUCUGUGUCAGUUCUACUUUUUACAAAGAGGUCUGCCAACUAUCCCUACUUUCAGCCCCAUGAAGAGUGGACAUUAUGUCUAUUUCCCCAGGAAUUGUUUUAAUGAGUGCCUAGGAGAGCAAAAUGUUUGAUGGUCUUGUCAGAAACUUCCUGCAUAUUUUAUACAGUUUGGGAAAUGAAGAGUAAUGAAUGCUAUAGUUGAGAACUGAGUUUCAAUAACGGGCAUUUUAAGCCCAGGGACUAGAUUAACAAGAGUUCGGUAUGGUACUGAUCAAGUUCACUGCCCCCACUCCUCCUUUUAGAAAGAAAAUUAUUCCAAAUCACCAGCUCUACCUUUGUUUCUUGCCAAUAGUCCUCCUCCUCACAAGUAUCCGGAUCAUACAAACAGCCAAAAGCAAGGAAGAAAUCAGUUACUCAACCUGAUAUGAACUAAUGAAGGUCUUGGGCUAUGGAAUUUGAGUGUUUGUUUUCUCACUGUCAUUUUGUGUUUAUCAGGCACAGAUUAGUUUCAUAUGUAUAGCACUUUUUUUGUCUUUGCUCUUGGCUUUCUCACCCUCUCCUUAACUUUAUUUGCAAAUCUCAUAUUAGAACAAACUUUUGCAAGAAAUGUUGUCUAAAUUUGUGGGGUUUGAUUAUACUAGAGAAAUUCAGCAUUGAAAAAUCUGUGCUGCUAGAGUGCUGCUUAUGAAGUCCAAAGGCUUUGUGUGUAUGCAUACAUGCAUACAUAUACCCAUACACAUAUAACAUAUGUAUGAAUGUAUAUUUCCUGUGCGUGUGUAUAUGUAUACAUAUAUCUAAAUAUAUGUAUAUGCACAUUUGUGUGUACAUUUAUGGGUAUGUUGUACAUGGGGCAGCUAUGUGGCACAGUAGAUAGAAUGCCAAUAUUGGAGUCAAGAAGAUUUGAAGCCCUAAAUCUUCUAGAAGCCUUAAAUCUGGGCUCAGAAAUUUACUGGUUGUGUGAUCUACUACAAAUCACUUAAUCCAGUUUGCCUCAGUUUCCUCAUCUGUAAAAUGACUGGAGAAGAAAACAGCAUACAACUCUAAUGUUUCUGCCAAGGAAAGCCUAAAUCUAGAAGAAUCAGCCAUGAUUGAAAAAUGAUUCAACAACAACAACACUAUUGUUCAUGUGUGUAGCACUACUAAACUAAGAGGAAAUAUCCAGAGGGAAGGCACAAUCCAAGUCAAGAACUUUCUGAUGCCUCCAUAAUGAAUGUACAUGGACACUACAGAACCUUACCACAUUUUCAGCAAAUUGACCUGUCUGAGAAGAUAACAUAGUGGAAUGGAGAACAGACAAGGGAGAGGAUUUAGGAUUGUUAAUAUUUCUUUGGAGAUAGUGCCUUACUUAAUCUCUUGGGCACAAGAAUAACAAUAUAAUAUGUGCACACACCCAUACCCACACCCACACACAUCAUAUUAUUUUUUGUAAUUUUUUUUUGUCAAAAGGAAAGGUCAGAGCAUAUUAGGGAAAGCAUUUUAUAUCAUUGUAAAAUUGUUCAUACUUAUUUUCAUGUCUAGGCCAGUGUUUGUUGAAGGAAAAGUAAACAUUUCCUCUAGAAUUAUGUAUUUUAAAACAAAAUCAUUGCCUAAGGGCCCUGUAUAUUCUUUCCCUGAACAUGACUGGUUUCUUAAGAUAUUCAACUCCUAAGCAACAUUUUUUUGUUUCUUUUCUGUUUGUUUUUAAUAAUGCAGGGUAGCUGAGCAUUCUAAAGAGCCUAAUUUCUUAAUAAAUACUAAAUAUUAGAUGGAAAUUGAUGAACCAUUUAAUUCAUCAAACUGAGAAUGGGGGAACAACAAUUCCUUGUUAAGUUUCUAGAAGUCUUUCUUGGAAAACCAAAUGAACUUUCUGGAGGCAGAAGACCCAAAUUUUAUUUCUGCUUAAGAGGAGCUAAUGUUUACAUAGCACUUGAAAGAUUACAAAUGGCUUUACAUUGAUUAUCUCUUGGGAUCCACACACUAAAAACACAACUGCAAUGCAAUUGUUAUCUCCAUUUUAGAAAUGUGGAAAUUCUGACAGAAAGUUAAAUGUAUUGUUUUCCUAGAGUAAAGCACUGGUCAAUGUUUAACCUAGAAAUGGAAUGAUGAUCAUUCUAACUGAAGGUCCAAAUUGCAUCAAUUAUCCUCCAAUCCUUCCAAAAAAUUUGGUUUUGUUAUCUUUUGUCACUAGAAUAUAAUUUUACUUCUCUGGAUUGUACUUUCUUUAUCUGAAAAAUGAAGUCUUACUACUAGUUAAUUUCCACGAUCUGUUACCACAGUAAGUCUGUGAUCAUGCAAUGAUGAUAUCUACAUAGAAAAUGUAAAUUAGGUUAAUUUAAAUUAGAAAGUAGGAAAUAAACAAUCAUUAGGCACCUAAUAAAUACUUGUUAUUUUGUGACAUGAUUUAAAAGUAUUUGAUUUGGUCUUCUAGAUGUGUGGUAUAAAGACCAUUGGCUCAAAUAAAUCAAGGAGAUAUCUCAAGAUUGAAUCGGAAAGGAAUUUUAUUAUAAUAACGCAAGAAAGGAAGGAAUUUUAUUACAACAAUGCAAGAAAGGCUGUCUCCUUCCCAACAAGCAAUCAGACAAGGAGAGGCAAGAUACAGAAAACAGACAAUGAUUAUACACAAAUCUUGAGUAGCAUUCCCCAAAGGCUGGACUUCCAUUCUGAUUAUUUGGAACAAAAGACAUCACACUCUAGGUCAUAAAUAGAAUUUUUAAACCCAACCAUAUCUUUAGGAUUGCUAAAUGACCUUAUAUGGGAAUUUUAAUGCCAAGGUGGCCAUAAUUCAAUUUCACAAUAGCAGAGGAAAAGGGGAUUUGGAGUUCUGGUUUCUCAUAAAUCAGAUGAUUUCUGGUAAAUAAAACUGAGGCCUAGGGAUUACUUUGUCUGAGAAAUCUUCACCUAUAACACUUAAUCCCUCCUCUUCUAUCUAAUGAUUUAUCACAACAUUGCUUAUAUAGUUCAUUUGCUUAUUCAUUAUCAGUUUUCUCCUUGUCAAAAUUGGGUUCUUCUACACUAACAGUUGUCCUCACGAAUUUUGCCUAGAUACUAACUUCUAGCAGUAAUAAUUCGGGGUCAAAUUCUAUUUCAUAUGGUGGAUAACUGGCUUGAUGAUUCAUCAGACAAUCAUACUUGAAUUUAAAACUUCAAAUAAUAUCAGCUACAAUCCCAAGAACUUUUAUCUCAAAAUGCAAAUCUCAUUAAUCAAAACUUCAGGUGAAUUUAGUUCUCAAGGAUCACAUAUUUUAAAUAGGAAUUGACUAUGACUUUACAUUGAUAAUAUUAAGAGAUUCAUCUUAUUCAUCAAUUUAAUAAUCUGUUCCUUAAAAAACUUGAUUCACUCUUUUCACUUUCCUAGAUGCAUUUAAUUUGCAGCCCCCUUCCCUUAUUUCUUAUAAAACCUUAGAAGUAAAGUAUGUUCCAUUAUCAGAAUCAGUAGUCCCUAGCAAUCCAUAACUAGGUAUAAUUUAUUCCAAUGUUAUACUUCGAACUUUUCAAAGUAGCAGAGCUCAGGGGAAAGCUUCCACCAGUCCUAUCAAAUGGCCCAUUAUAACCAAUAAAUAUCUCAGUUUUUCUACUUCAAUAAAGUCUAAGUGGAAUAUUCUGGAGCCAGGCUCCCUCCCUCUGGGACACCUCCUCAAUGCCUUCUCAUUUGUCUUUAACCCUAUUACAUAUCUUUCAGAUAUUUGUUUUACAGUUGCACCUAUUGCUGUAUGGCCAGAUUUUCUUACUUGAGCACCCAAUGGCUUCCUUAAUACAAUACAGUUAAAAUCUCCCCAGUCAUGACCUUAUUGAGCAUUCUCCUCCCAUAAGGCAAUUGCCAAUAUCUUUCAGGGGGUUUUAUUGCUUCAGUAUCUUCCAAUCUUUUCCCUUUAUCUUUAGAACAUAUUGAAGUUGCUGCUAUUUUAGAUGAAGUAGGAUAAGGACAAACAUUUGUUUUCCCACUCCUCUCUUUACAAAGCCACUUCCUUUAAACAUUUUCCUCAUCAGUUAAACAUUUCCCCACUACCUCAGGGGAUAUCCCUUCUGAUGCUCUCUAACAUAUCACUAAAUUGUUUAUUCCCUCAAGGUCUUGUAUUAAUACAAGUCUCAUCUGAUUUUUUUAAGGGCAAAAUAGGGAUAUUUAAAGGGUACAUACACAGCAUUAAUAGUUCAUCCUUCACAAGUCCCUUUGUUACUGAUCACAAUUUUAUUUUUCCCUCUAAUGAUAUGGAAUAUUGUUUAACACACACAUCAUAUUCUUUGGAUUUUCAGAUCGAUUUUAGAUGGGGAAUUUUUAAACUUCUCCUAUCUCUGCCACUCAUAUUUUACCAAAAGAGGGUGCAUUUUAAAUACUACAUAAUGUUUCAACACUUUUAAUUCCAAUACCAAUUGUAUAAUUCAAUCUCUGCUUAACAAAUUUUUUUCUCCAUUUCUGGGAUUUACAUAUUUCCUUUAAUUUUUCCCAUAUGCAGGAGUGACUUCUAUAUAGGUAUACAGAAAUCUGUUCCUUUAUCCCUGUCCAUUAACAUUUCCUUAAAUUUCUGACUAAUUUACCAAUUGAGGAUCUCUCCAUUCCAUUAACUAUUAAAUCUUCUUUUUACUCUUGCUCUAUGGACACAGAAAUUAUGAAUUGUAGUUUUAAUAUAAUGAACAAUCAUAGAAUUUUCAUAAGUAAUUGCCAAAUACUCUGUCAUAAUUUCCUCUUAACUAAGCAAAGGUGGAAAUAGCCAGUCUCCUAAAUUAUAUUUACUGAGUUAGCAAGACUCAUAAUAACAACAGAUUUCUAAAUACAUUUUCCACCUCCUGGUUUUUUCUCUUUUUUUUUUAGUUUAUAUUCCAAUAACAUUCAGGGUACUAGAUAACAAACCAAAUCUGGGUUCUACAACCUCAGAAGGAAAUCAUAACUAAAUCUACUUAGGUAGAACAGAACCAAUCUGUAUCACAAUCAAUUAAGUUUCCAAUUUUAACCCAUAUGCCAAUUUUGAAUUAUUUUAAAAUUAACCAGUACUUUAAUUUGUAAGAUUCUGUAAAAUCUACAUAAAUGUUCCAUUCAAGCAGAAUUGCCUUUUAGUUGUUUUACUGAUUCCCACUUCUUUUUGUAAGCCAGGAAAGAGUUAAACACCAAUACUGGCUUAAUAUGGGUUUUAAUUUGAGAUUCUUCCUGGCAGGAUUCCACAAGCUUGAGUUUUGAUAACAACGAGUUUUUAAAGUGGUAGCACACAGCUUUUCCAUUUCCCAAAAGUUCCCAAACACUGUAAUCCCUUUCACUCUACUGUCUUUUCAUUCCUACAUACUUAAACAGUCUCACUCACCAUUCUAUAUACAUAUAGCUCCUUUCUUUCUGACUCUGCCUAUCCUCUUCUUCUGUUUUUACCAUCUUCUCUGUAUUAGAUAUAUUUUCCUUUUCUCUCCUCCUUUUCUGCAAAGCUGUUGUAAUCAGCCAGACUCAGAGGGGGAGAAAAAGAAAUAUAUUAGUUUUCCUUGCCAGCAACAUGGAGGCUGUAUUCUUAUCUUUCAUAAAGUUGUUAACUUUUAAUACAGAACACAGAGUGCAAAGCAGACAUCCAUAGACAGACACACAAAGAAAUCUCCUAUUCCAGCUUUUGCAUACAGAUUUAAGUCUGACAUACUCAAUUGUCCCUCCCUCAUACAGAGCUACAAUAUUUUAUCAUUUUUUGACUUUUUCCUCUGUCUUUUGGUAAAUAAUUCUAAUUGCUUAAUUUUUUUUCCUAAGGGACUAUCUACCAGUAUCUCUUUAUUUUUAGUCUUUGCGGGGGGUAGCUAGGACUGAGUUGUGCCCAUUCUAAUUUGGACACAACUCUAAGUUCUACACACCCAAUUAUGGCAAGGUCGUCCCUAUUCCUCAGUCCCCCAAAAAGUUAUUCCAUCCAGAGCACCCCUCCAACAUCUGUAAUCCUCAACUUAAGGGACUCAUAGGUCCUACAUGUAAGUUGUAUGCACACAAGUUGCCUGACUGCUACAUCCUCACUGCCUGGUUGAAAUUUUUGCUGUACCACUCCUCACUUUCUCUCUGCUUUGGGUCACUUUACCUUGACGACCAAGGAGAAGCCCCCAAUGUUUGCAGGCUGCCUGAAAAAGGGUAGGUUGUCAAAACAAAAGUGGAGGGAAUGUUCUUACAUGAUUUUUUGCUUGCAGAUGAUUGUGCAUCCAAUGCAUUCUCUAAAACUGAGAUGCAACAAUAUAUCGAUUAAAUUUUUUGCUGCUUGUGCUAAUUUUGGCCUAACAAUUAAAACCAGGAAAACACAGGGAUCUAUCAGUCAGCACUACAUCAUCCAUAUAUGAAACUAUUGGCUACAGUAAAUGGAGAAGUUUUGAAUGUUGUAGAUAAAUUCACUUACCUUGGCAUAUUCUUUCCAGGGUUGUAUUUACUGAUAAUGAGAUUGAUACAUGCAUAGCCAGAGCUCCUUUAGUGUUUAGGAGGCUUUGCAUGAAAAUGUGGGAGAGGAUAGCUAUUAGACUAAGUAUCAAACUGAAGAUUGUACUGACCUCAAUAUUGCAUGCCUGUGAAACCUGGAUAGUCUACCAAUGCCAUGCCAGGAAACUGAAUCACUUUCAUUGAAUUUUGCCUUAGCAAGAUUCUAAAGAUCACCUGGCAGGAUACAAUACGAGACACUGAGAUCCUUUCUCAAACUAAACUACCAAGCAUUUAAACACUAUUGCAGAAAACACAAUUUUAUUGAGCUGACCACUUUGCUUAAAUGCCAAAUGUAUGCUUGCCAAAAAAGACUAUCAAAUAGUUUCUAGCAUACUUUAGUAUCAAAUAUAAGCACUAGGAUUAUAUACUGUGUAUUACACAAUAUAAUCCUGUGUAUUAUAUUAAUAUGAACAUUGAUUUGUAUAAGAGUCACAAAGUAGACAUUUAGUACGUGUUUUAAUGAAAUUGGUUGUUCUCCAUGUAUGACACUCUUUGCAUUUUCUAUGAAUUUCUCUCAUGUCUAAAAAUGUUCCCUCUCCAUUUCUACCUAAUACAUUCUCUAUUUUUCUCAAGUUACCCAAAUUUUCACAUCUUCUAUCAGAUAUCUUUCCCAAUAUCACUGAAUUGUGGUAUUUUUUUCUUUUUAACUAUUUCCUAGUUAUCCUACGUCUAGUUAGUUUGUACAUAUUCAUUUGUUUGUUGUCUCCCCGAUUUCAUUAUGAGUUCCUUGAGGGAAGGAACUAUCUUGAUCCUCUUUUAUUAUAUGUAGCAUUUAGCACAAUGCCUGGCAUAUGAUAGUCAUUUGUAAUAGCUGCUCAAUAAAUAUUUCUUCACUAAUAUUGAUUUUAGCAUUUAUUCAAUAAUUGAAAAACAUUUCCAAGAAAAUGUUUGUGUGUGCAGCAAGCUUCCAUCCCAGAAAAAAAGUCAAGAAUCUCUGAUCUAGGUAUAGAAGGAACUUCAGAAGCCAUGUUUUCAUGGCUUUAUUCAUUUUGAAAAUGAGACAAUUAAGGUCUAGGGAGGUUACAUUGAGUGACAAAUAUCAGAGGCAAUGUGUUAAAGGUGAAAUCUGGCAUUAUGCCCUCUGAUUUCAGAGAAUUUAAGAGAACAAUGCUGAAUAAACACACAGAGUAUAAGUAAAUUAAUAGAGAUGAUCCUAAAAUCAGAAAGGACAAUCAGUUUUGAAAACCUCAAAAUUAAUACAAAGUUGCAUUAAGAAGUUAUAUGAGACAAGAAAAUUCAAAUUAAUAUGUGUUAAAAUAAGUAUUCUUUUUUUUAUUUAUUUAAUAGCCUUUUAUUUACAGGAUAUAUACAUGGGUAACUUUACAGCAUUAACAAUUGCCAAACCUCUUGUUCCAAUUUUUCACCUCUUACCCCCCCACCCCCUCCCCUAGAUGGCAGGAUGACCAGUAGAUGUUAAAUAUAUUAAAAUAUAAAUUAGAUACACAAUAAGUAUACAUGACCAAAACGUUAUUUUGCUGUACAAAAAGAAUCAGACUCUGAAAUAUUGUACAAUUAGCUUGUGAAGAAAAUCAAAAAUGCAGGUGUGCAUAAAUAUAGGGAUUGGGAAUUCAAUGUAAUGGUUUUUAGUCAUCUCCCAGAGUUCUUUUUCUGGGCAUAGCUAGUUCAGUUCAUUACUGCUCCAUUAGAAAUGAUUUGGUUGAUCUCGUUGCUGAGGAUGGCCUGGUCCAUCAGAACUGGUCAUCAUAUAGUAUUGUUGUUGAAGUAUAUAAUGAUCUCCUGGUCCUGCACAUUUCAUUCAGCAUCAGAUCGUGUAAGUCUCUCCAGGCCUUUCUGAAAUUAUCCUGUUGGUCAUUUCUUACAGAAC